AGGAGUAUAGUUAAGUUGGUUAUAAUAGGGAUCUCCAAAAUCUUUGUCGUGGGUUCGAAUCCUACUACUCCUG
This is a non-coding RNA of Absidia glauca, 73 nucleotides long. NCBI's taxonomy places the organism in Eukaryota, Fungi, Mucoromycota, Mucoromycetes, Mucorales, Cunninghamellaceae. The record is from Rfam.